RNAcentral lists this non-coding RNA (31 nucleotides) under Rattus norvegicus (Norway rat). The record is from RNAcentral. Lineage: Eukaryota; Metazoa; Chordata; Mammalia; Rodentia; Muridae.
UGCUGUAAUGAAAUGUCCUAAUAAUGAAAGC